GGGCCUGGCUCUAAGUCUGAGGAAACACACUCUCUCUCGAACUUGAACUUGCCAGAGAGAACUCAGGCACUGACUGUGACGACGCGGGUGGGGAGAGACUGUGCACCUACACGUGUCACUUCACAAAGGCCUCCAGGGGCUUAUGAUCAGGCAAAGGAGACACCAGGAAAGAGGAGCAGAGUGGCUAGGGCAGUGCACUGCAGAUGCAUGGACGAAAGCUCGCAGCGACACAGGUAUGGGGUGUCUAAUCAGGGAUGAGUGUGAGCAGCAGAAUGAGGAGCAUGCUUUCCCAGAGGAAGAGAGGAAGCCACUGGAGAGAUGAAGGAUGCCAUGGACAGGAGGUGGUGUCUCUGGAGCCGCCGAGCAGCAGCCUCAUUGCUCAGAAGAUGAAGAUGCUGACGAAGACCCAGACAGGAAAAAAGGAAGAAAAAGCAUCCUGAUUGUUCCAUUAGCAAAGCCACAGUCCCGGAGAGCAAGGGGAGGGGCACAGCAGGCAGCCGCACCCAUGGGAUGCAUCUGCAGCUUGUGAGCAAUGCAUGAAAGAUGAAUCACACAGCAGCAAUGCCUUCAGCUUCCGUGUGCUAUGGCUCACUCAGCACCAGCUCUGCAGGCUGCCUAAGCCAGAAGUCAGUCUCUGCCUUUAGACUUGCUCACUUCUUUUAGGAACGGAGAUAUCCUCUGAUCCCUUGUCCUACAACCUCGAUUAAUAUCUUUCCAACAGCCAUCUGCCAAACUCAAGAAGACCCUGGAACAACCUAAUUGGAAAAGUUUCCAUCUUAUCCCUUGGAAAACUAUAGAAAAGUAGUGUCACACAAAUGUUUAAUUUCUGAUUUCUACAAUUUCAGAUACCAGAGUUUAUCUGUUACCAUGACAACUAACAGCUUUAUAAAUGUUUUCUAGCCUCUGCUAUUUUCUGGAACUUAUCUACAUUUCAGUAUUUGCUUAAUAAUUUUGAGCUGACACUAGCAACAUAAUUGUGUCUGGAUUGUGUAUGUGUAUGUCUUGUGUGUGUUGGCAGGGGGUGGGUAUAACCUAUGUCAGUGUUUUUCAAUGUGAGCAAAUUUUAAUAAACUUUUAUAUUUAAUGUGAACAUUAA
RNAcentral lists this long non-coding RNA (1096 nucleotides) under Homo sapiens (human). RNAcentral's name for it is "HSALNT0353553". Lineage: Eukaryota; Metazoa; Chordata; Mammalia; Primates; Hominidae. The record is from RNAcentral.